UACGUAGGCAGCAAGCGUUGUCCGGAAUUACUGGGCGUAAAGAGCUCGUAGGUGGUUUGUCGCGUUGUUCGUGAAAACUCACAGCUCAACUGUGGGCGUGCGGGCGAUACGGGCAGACUUGAGUACUGCAGGGGAGACUGGAAUUCCUGGUGUAGCGGUGGAAUGCGCAGAUAUCAGGAGGAACACCGGUGGCGAAGGCGGGUCUCUGGGCAGUAACUGACGCUGAGGAGCGAAAGCGUGGGGAGCAAACAGG
Molecule: ribosomal RNA, 253 nt
Filed under: uncultured bacterium
Lineage: Bacteria
Description: partial 16S ribosomal RNA
Rfam family: Bacterial small subunit ribosomal RNA
Source: RNAcentral